Molecule: ribosomal RNA, 253 nt
Filed under: uncultured prokaryote
Description: partial 16S ribosomal RNA
Rfam family: Bacterial small subunit ribosomal RNA
Source: RNAcentral
AUACGUAGGGUGCAAGCGUUAAUCGGAGUUACUGGGCGUAAAGCGUGCGCAGGCGGUUCGGAAAGAAAGAUGUGAAAUCCCAGAGCUUAACUUUGGAACUGCAUUUUUAACUACCGAGCUAGAGUGUGUCAGAGGGAGGUGGAAUUCCGCGUGUAGCAGUGAAAUGCGUAGAUAUGCGGAGGAACACCGAUGGCGAAGGCAGCCUCCUGGGAUAACACUGACGCUCAUGCACGAAAGCGUGGGGAGCAAACAG